CAGGAUGAACGCUGGCGGCGUGCCUAAUACAUGCAAGUCGAGCGAACAGAUGAGAAGCUUGCUUCUCUGAUGUUAGCGGCGGACGGGUGAGUAACACGUGGGUAACCUACCUAUAAGACUGGGAUAACUCCGGGAAACCGGGGCUAAUACCGGAUAAUAUUUUGAACCGCAUGGUUCAAUAGUGAAAGACGGUUUCGGCUGUCACUUAUAGAUGGACCCGCGCCGUAUUAGCUAGUUGGUAAGGUAACGGCUUACCAAGGCGACGAUACGUAGCCGACCUGAGAGGGUGAUCGGCCACACUGGAACUGAGACACGGUCCAGACUCCUACGGGAGGCAGCAGUAGGGAAUCUUCCGCAAUGGGCGAAAGCCUGACGGAGCAACGCCGCGUGAGUGAUGAAGGUCUUCGGAUCGUAAAACUCUGUUGUUAGGGAAGAACAAAUUUGUUAGUAACUGAACAAGUCUUGACGGUACCUAACCAGAAAGCCACGGCUAACUACGUGCCAGCAGCCGCGGUAAUACGUAGGUGGCAAGCGUUAUCCGGAAUUAUUGGGCGUAAAGCGCGCGUAGGCGGUUUCUUAAGUCUGAUGUGAAAGCCCACGGCUCAACCGUGGAGGGUCAUUGGAAACUGGGAAACUUGAGUGCAGAAGAGGAGAGUGGAAUUCCAUGUGUAGCGGUGAAAUGCGCAGAGAUAUGGAGGAACACCAGUGGCGAAGGCGGCU
RNAcentral lists this ribosomal RNA (720 nucleotides) under Staphylococcus sp. RNAcentral describes it as "bacterial SSU rRNA". It matches the Rfam family "Bacterial small subunit ribosomal RNA", at positions 25 to 726 of the family's 1533-position model. The record is from RNAcentral. Lineage: Bacteria; Bacillati; Bacillota; Bacilli; Caryophanales; Staphylococcaceae.